GAUGAACGCUGGCGGCGUGCCUAAUACAUGCAAGUCGAGCGAACAGAAGCGUUACUUGCUCUUCUGACGAUAGCGGCGGACGUGUGUGUCACACGUGUAUAUCCCACGUAUAAGACUUGGCUCACUUCGGGAAACCGGAGCUAAUACCUGAUACUAUUUUGACCCGCAUGGUUCAUUAGUGAAAGACGGUUUUGCUGUCACUUAUAGAUUGAUCCGCGCCGAAUUAUCUAUUUUGUAAGGUAACGGUUUAACAAGGCCACGAUGCGUAGCGGACCUGAGAGGGUGGACGGGCACACGAGAACAGAGAAAGGAUCCUGACACCUACGGGAGGCAGCAGUAGGAAAUCUUACGGAAGGGGGGAAAGGCUGACAGAGCAAAGCCGCGUGAGUGAUGAAGGUGUGAGGAUGGGAGAACGAAGAUGUAAGGGAAGAACAAAUGUGUAAGUAACAAGGAACGUAUUGACAGUACCUAAAAAGAAAGCCACGGCUAACUACGUG
RNAcentral lists this ribosomal RNA (497 nucleotides) under uncultured bacterium. RNAcentral describes it as "partial 16S ribosomal RNA". It matches the Rfam family "Bacterial small subunit ribosomal RNA", at positions 28 to 507 of the family's 1533-position model. The record is from RNAcentral.